Molecule: unclassified non-coding RNA, 217 nt
Filed under: rhizosphere metagenome
Description: partial ribosomal RNA internal transcribed spacer region
Source: RNAcentral
GUAGGUGAACCUGCGGAAGGAUCAUUAUUGAAAUAAACCUGAUAGGUUGUUGCUGGCUUCCUAGCAUGUGCACACCUUGUCAUCUUUAUAUCUCCACCUGUGCAUCUUUUGUAGACCUUUCAGGUCUAUGUUUCUUCAUUUACCCCAAUGUAUGUUAAUAGAAUGUUGUGACUAUAUAAAAUCUAUACAACUUUCAGCAACGGAUCUCUUGGCUCUC